GUAGCAGUUAAUUAAAACAGAGACAGAAACUAUAGAUUAACAAACAAUUGGAAGGCCUCUCGAUCAAUUUAAUACACAAUAAGUUCAUACUUGUGUCUUUUUGGAAGUAUAAAAAAUGAAAAAUCGCUAUUUUCCCAAAACGAGAAACCUCUUCAUUCCUCUUUCGUUGAUUAUUCAUCCUUGUUCUUCAAACCUCAAGCCUUAAAAUUGAGGAAGUAGAGGAAAUUCUCUCAAUUUACUUCAAAGGAAGGAUCAUGUUCUCUCCUACAAAGGGGUCUUUCUAAUUUUCAUAACUUUUGACUUAAUAUUGGCAGUGUUGUAUAAUGCAAAUCCAUAUAGAAGAAACACCAUUUACAGCACAGCCAAGGAAAAUGAAGAUUCAAUAUCUUUUUCAAAAACGCUCUGUCUCAUUUGCACUUAUUUCUCUCUUCUUCUUCCACGCUUAAUGAAGAAAACCCUUAAUGAAGAAAAAAUAAGAAAUCAACCCUAAACCCCUCAACCCAACAUCCUGGUGUGCUUUCUCAAUCUACAUCCUUCUCAAUGAAACAUACUGAUGUGCUUUCUUAAUCUACAUCCUUCUCAAAGAAAUGAAUUGAAAAAUCUCUUCUCAGAGAAAUGAAUUGAAAAAU
RNAcentral lists this long non-coding RNA (629 nucleotides) under Cucumis sativus (cucumber). RNAcentral describes it as "long non-coding RNA (CSAT_LNC001131)". Lineage: Eukaryota; Viridiplantae; Streptophyta; Magnoliopsida; Cucurbitales; Cucurbitaceae. The record is from RNAcentral.